AAAAGAGACUAGAAAGUGAUUUCUGAUUUUCUGAGAGAAUGUCCUAUAAUCAAGACGUGGAACUUUGUGGUUGGCUGCCAUUAAAUGAAAACUGAUCCAUAUUUAAUACUUUCAUGAAAUAAUAGGGUGUGUAAUAACUAUUAGCUAAAGGCUUGCAGGGUUUAUUUAAAGUUGCAUUUACUAUUAUGUUAAAUUCUACAUCAAUUAAAUUUAUCUUCCAGCAGUACAACUAUCUGACAGUCUUUGCAAGAUAAAGGAAGUGAUGCAUCUGAAAAUACCACCUUUCCUACAGAUAUUUUCCCUAAACGUAGCUAAUUAUUUGCACUCCGAUUUUUGUACUUCUUUUUCCCCAAUCAGGCCUUUCAUAUAUAGGGUUAUUAUACACUGAGUCAUAAUGCUGAUUAGGGACGGUUGCUGCUACAUGUAAGGGUUAAAACAUUUGUGUCUACUUCUCCUGUUGUUUUUAAAUGAAGUUAUGUCCAGAGCUCCAUGCUUGGGAGUCUGUUUUAUCUUCAUUUCCUUGAACUGUCUGGGAGCUUUCGGAGCUCAGAAGGUUCCCAGGUGUACUUAAAUAAACAAGUAAGGCAUGGGAAUCUGGCCAAUUCCCGUGUCUGCUCUUUAAUAAACAACUUCAAGGACGUAGUUACAAAAUGAAGUUUGCUCUCAAGACGGGGGGUCUGUGUAACCAAGCAUAAUAAAAAACCAGUGUAAGACAGCUUUAAUGGAACAGACGGACUUCUGCAUCUGACUUGUGCCUACCCGCUGCUGUACUGCCGGUGUUGAUUGCAAGAUUGCUGUUUGGAUGCUCACACCUCUUUGGAUUCUGUUGAAAAAUUACAUAACAAAAAGGCAGACGAUUUAACUAAAAUUAGUUCCAAUACCCAUGCUGAAGAUCAUCUAAAGUUUGCCCAAUGGAUACACAAGCAUACUGGUCAUACUGGGGCAAAAACCAUGUACAGUAUUUUAUAGGUUUCUUGCUGCUUGGAUUCCACAACAUCCAUCCAGUUCUUCCGUUUACGCCAGGAAAUAUUUUGACACUGCAAUCAAAUUCCACCACAGAACUAUUAUUGAGAUGGGGAUGAAAAAAUGAUAGAACAAACCGAACGCAAGAUAAUUUCAUUUGUUCUCCUAAUGAAGAAUGUUUGAACGUGAACUUUACUGUGAGUGAAAGUAAUCUGUUAACAUGGAAAGGACAGUUUCCAGUUAGAAGAGUGCUAUACAGUGAUAAUCCUGUUCACAUAAAUAUUACUUCUGUUGUUAAUAUUACAUGUUGCAUGGUAGAUUUACGCUCCUUAAUGCAUAUGUCUCAGAAACAAGCAGCUACAUAUAUAUAUAGAAAAAUAUAACCUGCUAUCAGUUAUUCUAUAUCAAAAUAAACAACUUAAUCAAUCCUUACAAAUACUAGCUAAACAAUUAGCUCAACAUAGAAUACAAACUACUAUUAUUAGCAAUACUCUCCAAAGCUAUUCACAUGCUGUCUCUUAUACACAUCUAGAUGUGUAUAAGAGACAGGGGUAAGACAGCUUUAAUGGAACAGACGGACUUCUGCAUCUGACUUGUGCCUACCCGCUGCUGUACUGCCGGUGUUGAUUGCAAGAUUGCUGUUUGGGUAUGAUACUGACCUAUGUAUAUAUUUGUAAAUAAACCAUUUUCUUAUUCCUAUUUCUUGGCUAGUGUUUUUCCUUCCCACGAACCUGCCUGUUCAAAUUAAAUCCAAGCUUGAUACUAACUGAAACUGAGACACUACAGGACAGCAGUCCUCAGGAAAAAUUAAAAUUGACCUUUAACAUAAAAUU
This 1796-nucleotide long non-coding RNA is filed under the name Aotus nancymaae (Ma's night monkey). RNAcentral's name for it is "lncRNA (ENSANAG00000039378.1)". The record is from RNAcentral. Lineage: Eukaryota; Metazoa; Chordata; Mammalia; Primates; Aotidae.